GACGAACGCUGGCGGUGUGCUUAACACAUGCAAGUCGAACGGCAACGCGCUGCUUUUGUGGCGUGCUCGAGUGGCGCACGGGUGAGUAUCACGUGAGUAACCUGCCCUUGACUUUGGGAUAACAUCAGGAAACUGGGGCUAAUACCGGAGAGGAGCUCCUGCUGCAUGGUGGGGGUUGGAAAGUUUCAUCGGUUGGGGAUGGACUCGCGGCUUAUCAGCUUGUUGGUGGGGUGGUGGCUUGCCGAGGCUUUGACGGGUAGCCGGCCUGAGAGGGUGACCGGCCACAUUGGGACUGAGAAAGGGAGCAGACUGCGAGGGGAGGCGGUAGUGGGGAGUAUUGCACAAUGGGCGGGAGCGUGAUGCAGAAGCGCCCCGUGCGGGAUGACGGCCUUCUGGGUGUGAACCGCAUUAGGCUGUGACGAAGCGCGAGUGACGGUAACGGGUGAAGAAGCACCGGCUAACUACGUG
Molecule: ribosomal RNA, 468 nt
Filed under: uncultured bacterium
Lineage: Bacteria
Description: partial 16S ribosomal RNA
Rfam family: Bacterial small subunit ribosomal RNA
Source: RNAcentral